Juglans regia (Persian walnut) is the source of this 343-nucleotide long non-coding RNA. RefSeq lists it as uncharacterized. The record is from RefSeq and is a predicted model, not a curated record. The transcript has 3 exons. Lineage: Eukaryota; Viridiplantae; Streptophyta; Magnoliopsida; Fagales; Juglandaceae.
CUCUGGCUCUCUUGUUUUCGAUCUUCCAGGCUUUCCCUCUGGAAAACAAAACGUCUCCGAGUCUUCUCUCGCUCUCUUCCCAACCGGCAGAAAGUGUCAUAGAAGUGGCAUUGAUGGUGGUGCAGCGUACAUCCCCUAAGUUGAAGAGUUUUAUCAGCAGUGCGAUCCUGGGACAACUUCAACAAAUGAGGCUACGUCUACAUCGGCUGCAAUAUGACUUCAUAGUUCGAUCCACCAUUGUCAUUGAUUUGUAUAACUUGUCUCUUAAUUAUUUGUAGUAUGUAUAUAAUGUUUGUAAUUCUAAUUAUUUUUCUUGUAUUUUUUUCAGCUUUUAUAAUCUCAC